RNAcentral lists this ribosomal RNA (428 nucleotides) under uncultured prokaryote. RNAcentral's name for it is "bacterial SSU rRNA". It matches the Rfam family "Bacterial small subunit ribosomal RNA", at positions 355 to 774 of the family's 1533-position model. The record is from RNAcentral.
UGAGGAAUUUUGCGCAAUGGGAGCAAUCCUGACGCAGCAACGCCGCGUGAGUGAUGAAGGCCUUCGGGUCGUAAAGCUCUGUCAGGUGGGAAGAACAUCCAUGGCAAUAAUACUGUGAUGGAGUGACGGUACCACCAGAGGAAGCCCCGGCUAACUCCGUGCCAGCAGCCGCGGUAAUACGGAGGGUGCGAGCGUUAUUCGGAAUUACUGGGCGUAAAGCGCGUGUAGGCGGGAAGACAAGUCUGAUGUGAAAGCCCCGGGCUUAACCUGGGAAGUGCAUUGGAAACUGUUUUUCUUGAGUACUGGAGAGGAAGGGGGAAUUCCCGGUGUAGAGGUGAAAUUCGUAGAGAUCGGGAGGAAUAUCAGUGGCGAAGGCGCCCUUCUGGACGGAUACUGACGCUGAGACGCGAAAGCGUGGGGAGCAAACA